AUAUAGGGAUUGAAGCCAUGCAA
This 23-nucleotide microRNA is filed under the name Python bivittatus (Burmese python). RNAcentral describes it as "pbv-miR-135-3p". Its record names the gene pbv-miR-135-3p. Lineage: Eukaryota; Metazoa; Chordata; Lepidosauria; Squamata; Pythonidae. The record is from miRBase by way of RNAcentral.